Molecule: long non-coding RNA, 530 nt
Organism: Aplysia californica (California sea hare)
Lineage: Eukaryota; Metazoa; Mollusca; Gastropoda; Aplysiida; Aplysiidae
Exons: 3
Source: RefSeq, a predicted model, not a curated record
GUGGUUGAAUACGAAGACCAGACAUAGCCAGUAAAUCUCUUUACGAGCACAAGUCUUAUAAAAAUAAUUUCAGGGCUUUUAGUCUGAAAUCUGAGAAAACGGUCCAAGAUGAAAUACCUGUGCGUCCUCGUUCUUCUCCUCGUUGUGUCCGCUGUCUUCCUGCAGGAGUGCUCAGGAGCCACCGCAGGAGACAGGCUUGACAUGACCAAUUUGAAAGAUCUGUUGUCCAGAGCUUUGAGAGAGGUCGAGGCAGCAAAGCCUGGUAAUCGCUGGGGCUGAUGACGAGCAGAGACAAGUAAUUACAGUUCUUGUGAAAAUACGAGUAGCCUAAGCUUAUAUUAAUAAAUUAUGCAAUUAUAUUUCUCCUAGCUAAUGUUGUGUUUCUCUUAGUCUUGCCCAACGUUACUCUACUCUAGCAUUUUAUAAUGUAUUAUCACAAGAGCUUAUUGUGAAAAAAAAUUGACUCGAAGUUAAGAGUAGAUCUAUCUUAUUUUCUACAUGAAGGAAUAAAAGAAAUAUUGUCAUACCAG